This 511-nucleotide ribosomal RNA is filed under the name Pseudomonas aeruginosa. Its description in RNAcentral is "bacterial SSU rRNA". It matches the Rfam family "Bacterial small subunit ribosomal RNA", at positions 61 to 567 of the family's 1533-position model. Lineage: Bacteria; Pseudomonadati; Pseudomonadota; Gammaproteobacteria; Pseudomonadales; Pseudomonadaceae. The record is from RNAcentral.
GUCGUGAGGAGUAACCGAGCAUUGCUCCUGGAUUCAGCGGCGGACGGGUGAGUAAUGCCUAGGAAUCUGCCUGGUAGUGGGGGAUAACGUCCGGAAACGGGCGCUAAUACCGCAUACGUCCUGAGGGAGAAAGUGGGGGAUCUUCGGACCUCACGCUAUCAGAUGAGCCUAGGUCGGAUUAGCUAGUUGGUGGGGUAAAGGCCUACCAAGGCGACGAUCCGUAACUGGUCUGAGAGGAUGAUCAGUCACACUGGAACUGAGACACGGUCCAGACUCCUACGGGAGGCAGCAGUGGGGAAUAUUGGACAAUGGGCGAAAGCCUGAUCCAGCCAUGCCGCGUGUGUGAAGAAGGUCUUCGGAUUGUAAAGCACUUUAAGUUGGGAGGAAGGGCAGUAAGUUAAUACCUUGCUGUUUUGACGUUACCAACAGAAUAAGCACCGGCUAACUUCGUGCCAGCAGCCGCGGUAAUACGAAGGGUGCAAGCGUUAUCGGAAUUACUGGGCGUAAAGCG